This 495-nucleotide ribosomal RNA is filed under the name uncultured bacterium. RNAcentral describes it as "partial 16S ribosomal RNA". It matches the Rfam family "Bacterial small subunit ribosomal RNA", at positions 29 to 507 of the family's 1533-position model. The record is from RNAcentral.
AUGAACGCUGGCGGCGUGCCUAAUACAUGCAAGUCGAGCGAACAGACGAGGAGCUUGCUCCUCUGACGUUAGCGGCGGACGGGUGAGUAACACGUGGAUAACCUACCUAUAAGACUGGGAUAACUUCGGGAAACCGGAGCUAUACCGGAUAAUAUAUUGAACCGCAUGGUUCAAUAGUGAAAGACGGUUUUGCUGUCACUUAUAGAUGGAUCCGCGCCGCAUUAGCUAGUUGGUAAGGUAACGGCUUACCAAGGCAACGAUGCGUAGCCGACCUGAGAGGGUGAUCGGCCACACUGGAACUGAGACACGGUCCAGACUCCUACGGGAGGCAGCAGUAGGGAAUCUUCCGCAAUGGGCGAAAGCCUGACGGAGCAACGCCGCGUGAGUGAUGAAGGUCUUCGGAUCGUAAAACUCUGUUAUUAGGGAAGAACAAAUGUGUAAGUAACUAUGCACGUCUUGACGGUACCUAAUCAGAAAGCCACGGCUAACUACGUG